UCUAUGUGGUGAGAAACCAGGACCUACCAUUGUUCAUGUGUCUGCGCUUGGAAGAAGAGUAUUAUUCAGCUGCACACUAGCCUGGAGAUGCCUGCAGUCCUGCCUAACAGCUGAACUAAAACCUCAUGAGGAACUCAGAGUCAGCUAAGCUGUGGCCAUAUAGCUCUCACACGAACACGAGACUGUUCCCGUUUGCAACUUCAGAUUUUAGUCCAAGUCCCAGAAUGCUGUUGCAGGCUGGAUUUGACUAGAAUAGCAAAAGCACUACAACUAUUAUGCAAAUAAGGAGUUUUGUGUAGAAUUAGGCUUUCCACCAGUGUGGAGGGAGCUGAAAUUCUGAAGAACCAGGAAGACUGCAGCCAGAAUAAGGUGCUGUAACA
Molecule: non-coding RNA, 380 nt
Organism: Macaca mulatta (Rhesus monkey)
Lineage: Eukaryota; Metazoa; Chordata; Mammalia; Primates; Cercopithecidae
Source: RefSeq, a predicted model, not a curated record